UUUGAUGGCGACCGGCGCACGGGUGAGUAACACGUAUCCAACCUGCCGAUGACUCGGGGAUAGCCUUUCGAAAGAAAGAUUAAUACCCGAUGGCAUAAUUCUUCCGCAUGGUAGAACUAUUAAAGAAUUUCGGUCAUCGAUGGGGAUGCGUUCCAUUAGGUUGUUGGCGGGGUAACGGCCCACCAAGCCUUCGAUGGAUAGGGGUUCUGAGAGGAAGGUCCCCCACAUUGGAACUGAGACACGGUCCAA
RNAcentral lists this ribosomal RNA (249 nucleotides) under uncultured bacterium. Its description in RNAcentral is "partial 16S ribosomal RNA". It matches the Rfam family "Bacterial small subunit ribosomal RNA", at positions 84 to 334 of the family's 1533-position model. The record is from RNAcentral.